GGCACUUGUUAGUCCUGGGCCUCUUCCUGUCCGUUAUCACACAAGCCUAUUGUCGAUUUGGGGGACUUGAACCUCAGGAGUACGCCGGACCGGGAGAACAGGCUCUUGUGUCCAAGAAUCGGAAUGCUAUUAUUAGAAAGUUACCUUCGUACAUAGACAGACCGAUUGGGUCAUUGACAGCUUUGGUGUUCCGGAAACAGGGUGUUAUAGUAACAACGUAUUUCAUUAAGGUGCGGAUUGGAGGGCGUCGUCCACGCUUCAUUCACGUCAGAAUAUUUGCUGGGAAGGAUAAUAGAAGUAAAGUGCAAGCGGUUAAAUCCGUGAACCAGUACGAACCCAUCGUGUAUUUUGAGUGAGACUGGCG
Molecule: long non-coding RNA, 364 nt
Organism: Ostrea edulis (European flat oyster)
Lineage: Eukaryota; Metazoa; Mollusca; Bivalvia; Ostreida; Ostreidae
Exons: 3
Source: RefSeq, a predicted model, not a curated record